Molecule: unclassified non-coding RNA, 253 nt
Filed under: uncultured Pirellulaceae bacterium
Lineage: Bacteria; Pseudomonadati; Planctomycetota; Planctomycetia; Pirellulales; Pirellulaceae
Description: contains 16S-23S intergenic spacer region
Rfam family: Bacterial small subunit ribosomal RNA
Source: RNAcentral
UACGAAUUGUGCGAACGUUAUUCGGAAUCACUGGGCUUAAAGGGUGCGUAGGCGGCUAUGCAGGUCAGGUGUGAAAUCCCACGGCUCAACCGUGGAACUGCGCUUGAAACCGCAUGGCUUGAGGGAGUCAGAGGUAAGCGGAACUGAUGGUGGAGCGGUGAAAUGCGUUGAUAUCAUCAGGAACACCGGUGGCGAAAGCGGCUUACUGGGACUUUUCUGACGCUGAGGCACGAAAGCCAGGGGAGUGAACGGG